Molecule: ribosomal RNA, 761 nt
Filed under: Bacillus anthracis (anthrax bacterium)
Lineage: Bacteria; Bacillati; Bacillota; Bacilli; Caryophanales; Bacillaceae
Description: bacterial SSU rRNA
Rfam family: Bacterial small subunit ribosomal RNA
Source: RNAcentral
GAACUGGGCGGCGUGCUAAUACAUGCAAGUCGAGCGAAUGGAUUAAGAGCUUGCUCUUAUGAAGUUAGCGGCGGACGGGUGAGUAACACGUGGGUAACCUGCCCAUAAGACUGGGAUAACUCCGGGAAACCGGGGCUAAUACCGGAUAACAUUUUGAACCGCAUGGUUCGAAAUUGAAAGGCGGCUUCGGCUGUCACUUAUGGAUGGACCCGCGUCGCAUUAGCUAGUUGGUGAGGUAACGGCUCACCAAGGCAACGAUGCGUAGCCGACCUGAGAGGGUGAUCGGCCACACUGGGACUGAGACACGGCCCAGACUCCUACGGGAGGCAGCAGUAGGGAAUCUUCCGCAAUGGACGAAAGUCUGACGGAGCAACGCCGCGUGAGUGAUGAAGGCUUUCGGGUCGUAAAACUCUGUUGUUAGGGAAGAACAAGUGCUAGUUGAAUAAGCUGGCACCUUGACGGUACCUAACCAGAAAGCCACGGCUAACUACGUGCCAGCAGCCGCGGUAAUACGUAGGUGGCAAGCGUUAUCCGGAAUUAUUGGGCGUAAAGCGCGCGCAGGUGGUUUCUUAAGUCUGAUGUGAAAGCCCACGGCUCAACCGUGGAGGGUCAUUGGAAACUGGGAGACUUGAGUGCAGAAGAGGAAAGUGGAAUUCCAUGUGUAGCGGUGAAAUGCUUAGAGAUAUGGAGGAACACCAGUGGCGAAGGCGACUUUCUGGUCUGUAACUGACACUGAGGCGCGAAAAGCGUGGGAGCAAAAC